This 237-nucleotide ribosomal RNA is filed under the name uncultured bacterium. Its description in RNAcentral is "partial 16S ribosomal RNA". It matches the Rfam family "Bacterial small subunit ribosomal RNA", at positions 96 to 334 of the family's 1533-position model. The record is from RNAcentral.
CGGCGGACGGGUGAGUAACGCGUGGGUAACCUGCCUCAUACAGGGGGAUAACAGUUAGAAAUGACUGCUAAUACCGCAUAAGACCACAGCACCGCAUGGUGCGGGGUAAAAACUCCGGUGGUAUGAGAUGGACCCGCGUCUGAUUAGCUAGUUGGUAAGGUAACGGCUUACCAAGGCGACGAUCAGUAGCCGACCUGAGAGGGCGACCGGCCACAUUGGGACUGAGACACGGCCCAA